Molecule: long non-coding RNA, 1557 nt
Organism: Homo sapiens (human)
Lineage: Eukaryota; Metazoa; Chordata; Mammalia; Primates; Hominidae
Product: long intergenic non-protein coding RNA 683
Source: Ensembl
AGGGCGGGUGAGGACCCUGCACACACACGGUGUGUUUGUGAGCUGUGCAGAGUGGGGUCUCCCUGGCAAUGGCCACAGCCUCCAGGGGCGCUGACACCUCCCGUCUAACUGGUAGACAGUUUCUGCCUCUUCUUGUUUGGGGAUUGGAGAGGGAAGUGCGUCUGGAUGACUACUAAGAUGAGGAGGCUGAGGCCUAGUGCUCCUAGCGGGCUUGGUCAAGAGCAGGAGGCGGAGGUGGUGGAAGGCUGUUUCCCUGCGAGAAUACACUGCAUCGAACACAGAACAAAAAGACUCACUACAACGCUGCAGCCACAAUAGUGUGUGAUUUCAAGUCUUAAAAACCAGAAUCACUUUCUUCUCUGGACUGGAAGCAUAUUUAUUUUGGCCGUAAAAAUACUCGACUGCAAGACUAUGAGUGUGCAGAUAAUUCUGCUGCUUACUCCGAUUGGAGGUGUCUCCAGGGAGUUUCCAAGCACAGGAAGCAUUCCUGCUCUGAGGUUUCGGAAGAACACUUUCAGCAGGAUUUUGGGUCACUGAAAUGAAAGUGAACUAUGCUCUGUACAAAUGUAUCAUGUUUAAUUCAGGAGAAAUUCAUGCAUUUCUUUGUUCUAUAAAUAUUUACUGGCAGCUCGUUUUGUAUAGGAGGCUGCCACCUCCCAAAAGCCCCCUGCUCCUCGAGUGGGUUGAGCCUGAAACCCCACAUCCACAGACGUGCCCAGCGGCCUUGGGUGCUCAACACAGGCUCGUUCAGAAUAACAGAGUACACCAGUCAUCAUAAGAAGAAAAAUUCACAUUUAAAGUUUGGAAAGCAACAGGACAAAGGUCUGUCUUCAGUGGUGCGUAGACAUGCUCGUGAUUGAAUUGGAAAUAGUUCUCUUUCCUUCUCUCUGACUUCCUAACUGAAAAGCUGCAGCGUGGGGAGAAAGGCUGCUCAGAAGCCUGGAGCCAGAACACGCACCCCGGCUUUUGCAGGGCCGGCUCACUUGGUUAGAAUCAAAGGAAAAGCCUUGUUAUUUGGGAAGCUGGGCGUCCUCACCAAAUUAGGGGAUUUAAUUUGCAGAUAUCUAAGGAGUGCUUUGAAAUGAAAGAUGAACUAAAAUCUGCUCUGAGGCCCGUGAUUUUUCACCAGUGAAGGACUCUCUUGCUGCUGGACAUACAUGAAAAGCAUCAUCUGAUCUGAAACGCAAGUCCCUGCAAGACAGAGGAGAGACUUUAUAAACAUUUUAUACCAUUCUAUGAAAUCAAUUCGAUUCAGGGCUAGAAUUCAAGAAGUAAUCCAUGGGCAAGUAUAUCUGAUGGUAAACCCAAACGAUUAUAUUGUUAACCUCUUGUACUUUUUUUAAUUUUUUAUUAUUUGAUAUUAUUAUCACAAAAGUCGCUGGAACAGGAUCCAUGAGCUGCUUCUUCACUGCUUAGUGUUUUCAGAAGCUGAUGGAUUAUUAAGCUCCAAUUGAAUACUUGAUUUCCAAUGAUUCCAUUAAUUUUUCUGGUUUGUGGUAGGAUUUGAUUUACUUAUUUUGUACUUUAACACACCAAUAAAAAAUAGAUACUAAGAAA